AUUGAACGCUGGCGGCAGGCCUAACACAUGCAAGUCGAACGGUAACAGGAAGAAGCUUGCUUCUUUGCUGACGAGUGGCGGACGGGUGAGUAAUGUCUGGGAAACUGCCUGAUGGAGGGGGAUAACUACUGGAAACGGUAGCUAAUACCGCAUAACGUCGCAAGACCAAAGAGGGGGACCUUCGGGCCUCUUGCCAUCGGAUGUGCCCAGAUGGGAUUAGCUAGUAGGUGGGGUAACGGCUCACCUAGGCGACGAUCCCUAGCUGGUCUGAGAGGAUGACCAGCAACACGGAAACUGAGACAGGGCCGAGACCCCUACGGGGGGCAGCGGGGGGGAAUAUUGCAGAAGGGCCGCAGGCUUAAUGCAGCCAUCGCGGGUGUAGAAAGAAGGCUUUGGGGUUUUAAAGUCCUUUCAGGGGGGAGGAAGGGAGUAAGUUUAAUACCUUUCCUCAUUGAGGUUCCCCACAAAAGAGGCCCCGACAAACUCCGGG
This 490-nucleotide ribosomal RNA is filed under the name uncultured bacterium. RNAcentral's name for it is "partial 16S ribosomal RNA". It matches the Rfam family "Bacterial small subunit ribosomal RNA", at positions 30 to 507 of the family's 1533-position model. The record is from RNAcentral.